This 924-nucleotide ribosomal RNA is filed under the name Shouchella hunanensis. RNAcentral's name for it is "bacterial SSU rRNA". It matches the Rfam family "Bacterial small subunit ribosomal RNA", at positions 66 to 967 of the family's 1533-position model. The record is from RNAcentral. Lineage: Bacteria; Bacillati; Bacillota; Bacilli; Caryophanales; Bacillaceae.
CUCGAUCGCACAUAAGAUCAGGUUGCUCCCGGAAGUCAGCGGCGGACGGGUGAGUAACACGUAGGUAACCUGCCCCUUAGACUGGGAUAACUCCGGGAAACCGGAGCUAAUACGGUAAUAAUAAAGAGAAUCACCUGAUUCUCUUUUGAAACACUGUUUCCGAUGUCACUAAUGGCAUUAUCCUGACUUGCCCACUACCUAGUUGUUAAGGUACCGUCUUACCAAGGCGACGAUGCGUAUGCGACCUCCAGAGUCUGAUCGGCCACGCUGAUAUUGAGACAUCCCCCCCACUCCUACGGUUAGGUCACCAGUAGGGAAUCUUCCACAGUGAAUGGACGAAAGUCUGACGGAGCAACGCCGCGUGAGUGAGGAAGGCCUUCGGGUCGUAAAGCUCUGUUGUGAGGGAAGAACAAGUACCGGCGUAACUACCGGUACCUUGACGGUACCUCACCAGAAAGCCACGGCUAACUACGUGCCAGCAGCCGCGGUAAUACGUAGGUGGCAAGCGUUGUCCGGAAUUAUUGGGCGUAAAGCGCGCGCAGGCGGCUUCUUAAGUCUGAUGUGAAAUCUCGGGGCUCAACCCCGAGCGGCCAUUGGAAACUGGGAAGCUUGAGUGCAGAAGAGGAGAGUGGAAUUCCACGUGUAGCGGUGAAAUGCGUAAACACCAGUGGCGAAGGCGACUCUCUGGUCUGUAACUGACGCUGAGGCGCGAAAGCGUGGGGAGCAAACAGGAUUAGAUACCCUGGUAGUCCACGCCGUAAACGAUGAGUGCUAGGUGUUAGGGGUUUCGAUGCCCGUAGUGCCGAAGUAAACACAUUAAGCACUCCGCCUGGGGAGUACGGCCGCAAGGCUGAAACUCAAAGGAAUUGACGGGGACCCGCACAAGCAGUGGAGCAUGUGGUUUAAUUCGAAGCAACGCGAAGA